RNAcentral lists this transfer RNA (73 nucleotides) under Planctomycetota bacterium. Its description in RNAcentral is "Planctomycetes bacterium (marine metagenome) tRNA-Asp". It matches the Rfam family "tRNA". From Rfam's summary of the family: Transfer RNA (tRNA) molecules are approximately 80 nucleotides in length. Their secondary structure includes four short double-helical elements and three loops (D, anti-codon, and T loops). Lineage: Bacteria; Pseudomonadati; Planctomycetota. The record is from RNAcentral.
GCUCUCGUAGCUCAAUCAGAAGAGUGUCCGGCUGUCGACCGGGAGGUUGGGGGUGCAAGUCCCCUCGGGAGCG